Molecule: RNA transcript, 2604 nt
Organism: Selaginella moellendorffii
Lineage: Eukaryota; Viridiplantae; Streptophyta; Lycopodiopsida; Selaginellales; Selaginellaceae
Exons: 5
Source: RefSeq, a predicted model, not a curated record
GGGUUAGGGUUUUGGCGCGGAAGGAGCUCUAGCUAUGGCGCGUGAGGGCGCUGCGACGUUCUGGCUCGUGGCGCCGCCGCGGCGCUGGAUCGGAAUCCGCUGACGACGAUGCCAAGGCGGCAGCAGGUGUGUGGCGCAAGAAUCGCGACCCGGAUCGGGAAUUCAUGUCGCGGGCCUUGUCGAUCUCUCUCCCCCAUGGCAAGAGCGCGCGGAUUUGCGACAAUUCAAUGCAGUUCCAGCGCCUGGAUGAGCUCCUCAGCCUCCUCCGGAAUCUCAAGGCGGGAUUGUCGCUGUAGGUGAGAGAUCGGGAAGGGUCAAGCCAACGCAUGCCCAGAAUGGGUGGCUCUUCCAGGGAUUCUUACACGAAUGUAGAUACAGCAGUAGGCACGAUUGUAUGGGUGAGGCGCAGGAAUGGAUCGUGGUGGCCGGGGAGAAUUAUCUCGGACUCCGAGCUCUCUACAGCGAAUCUCCUCUCACCCAGAUCGGGGACUCCCGUCAAGCUUCUCGGGAGGGAGGACGGCAGCGUCGAUUGGUACAACAUCGAGAAAUCAAAGAGGGUGAAGCCUUUCCGCUGUGGAGAUUUUGAGGAGUGCAUCGAGAAGGCCAAGGCUGUAGCAGGAUUGCCAACCAAGAAGAGGGAGAAGUAUGCACGGCGAGAGGAUGCUAUUCUCCAUGCUUUGGAGUUGGAGAGGCAGCAGCUGGAGUGCUCGUCCGGGUUCGUGGAGUCCUCGGCAUACAGAAAGAGGGAACAGUAUGACGGGGAGAGGGAAGUAAGCACUGUCGAAGGCACUCGUUCACGCUCACGCUCACGAUCACGACGAAAACGGGUGGUAAAACCGAUAGUAUCAGACGAUGACACGGAUUCGGGGAAUUCUCGAGUUUAUCCAGAAGAGGACGAUAACUCUGGUGGGCUUUCCUCCUCCGGUAGGGGGCAAGAAGAGCAAGAGUGGAACCCCGACGAGGACGAGGUGGAAGGACUUCGUAGAAUGCGGGGAUUGCAGGACUUUGGACUUCGAACAGCCGGAAGAGGGAGAAGGUCUGCCAGUGUCUACGAUGAGAACAUAGAGAAUCACCAGAGUUGCGUGACUCAGAGUGGGAAGGGCUCAACAUUAAAUGGCAUUAAAGUUCCAUCGUUUACUACAAAGAGGAAGAGAACUGUGGCUGGCGGGGCAGGGGAGGAAGGAUCGCUUAGGAAGCGUGACCGCAGGAGGCCGCUUACGCAGGUUUUGGAAAGCAGUGCAAAGUUUCUGUCGGGUGACGGUGAGCUGAUGCACAUAGUAGACGAGGAUGAUGCUCUUGUAGAAGGAAACCAGGCUGUAGGGGGGCUGGAGAGGAUGGGUGUGGAAUUUACUUCUUCAGUCGCCGAAGGUUGCAGAGAGGAUUUUUCUAACAAUACGACAGGUGUAGCCGACAGGACUUGCUGCAGUUUCUCCGGUCAUGCCACCGGUGAUUGCUGCGAUGGAUCUCAUCCCUCUGAAGAAGUAAGUCUGAGAGGAAGAUUUUUUUUCAGCAAUGAACUAUUUGAAAGCGCACGAAGAGGGUACGAAACGGAUCACCAGAGGGCGAGACGGUGUUUGAGAAAGCUGCGAGAAGAAGGGGCAGCACCGAGAAGGAUUCUUGUAAAGCAGGAGCACGACGAAGGUGCGUCGGGUGACACGGAACAGGUUACAGCGAAAAGACCACCCUCGAGGCUCGGACAGAUCAAGACCGAGAAGGAAACUGCAUGGUACCAGGAGGAAUGGCUGGACGUUCCAGUGGAGAAAGACAGCAUCGUCCAGAAGCCGUCGGUGCCAAUGGUUCUACUAGCGAGCAAACUGACCAGGCGAGCUGUAGUUGGAUACCCCGUGGUUGUGGAGGCCAUCGAGGGCGGUACGUCUGACGAAGAACAGGAUACCUGUUUUAGACAAGAAGGGAUUGCUGGAAGCUCUUCUUCGCGGAGAAAGGCCAAGGCGCCACACAAGGAGAGCCUGUCCAAGAGGCUGGUGAAGAAGGUGGUGGCGUCGUCGAGGAAGACGAGGACGCUGUCAUCGAUCGCGAGCGAGCAGAGGCCCGGUGUACAUUUACAGGGGACGGGGAUAGGGGUGAAUAACACAGGCGGAGGAAGAGCUUGGAACGGACGUGAGUUUGAGGAAGAGAACUGGCCUGUGGCUGCUUGCGUUCCCGUAAGGGUGGCUCUCAGCAGGAUCAAGGCAGCAGUGAGUGGACCUCUCGAGACUUGACGACGACGACGACGAACACACUGCUGGACGACAGUGAAGCUACGACUGGAAGAAGAAAAGGGCCUCUCGCUUCCUUUUGUUUCCUGAAAGAAAAGCUUUGUACAGUCGCUUCGAAAGCAUGGAGCCCCGGUAAGUUAGAACCUGGUGAGGAUAGAGCUUGGAUCAACUGACCAAGUUUCUGGGAAACAAAGAAAAAAUUCUUUCAGGGGGGUAACAUUUGUGAGUGCCAAGAGCUCCGAAAGUUCUUUUUCUAUCUUCAAGAGGCAUGUACAUAGUGUGCUACCACCCCUGGUAACGUAGAACGAAGAGUUCUUUUUUUCCGUGGAAAAACAACGAAACUCUUGAGAAUAAAACACUACGUCGCAGUAGUGAUCUUCAAAGUUCU